This 505-nucleotide ribosomal RNA is filed under the name uncultured bacterium. RNAcentral's name for it is "partial 16S ribosomal RNA". It matches the Rfam family "Bacterial small subunit ribosomal RNA", at positions 28 to 507 of the family's 1533-position model. The record is from RNAcentral.
GACGAACGCUGGCGGCGUGCCUAAUACAUGCAAGUAGAACGCACAGUUUAUACCGUAGCUUGCUACACCAUAGACUGUGAGUUGCGAACGGGUGAGUAACGCGUAGGUAACCUGCCUGGUAGCGGGGGAUAACUAUUGGAAACGAUAGCUAAUACCGCAUAAUAUUGAUUAUUGCAUGAUAAUUGAUUGAAAGAUGCUAUUGCAUCACUACCAGAUGGACCUGCGUUGUAUUAGCUAGUAGGUGAGGUAACGGCUCACCUAGGCGACGAUACAUAGCCGACCUGAGAGGGUGAUCGGCCACACUGGGACUGAGACACGGCCCAGACUCCUACGGGAGGCAGCAGUAGGGAAUCUUCGGCAAUGGACGAAAGUCUGACCGAGCAACGCCGCGUGAGUGAAGAAGGGUUUCGGAUCGUAAAGCUCUGUUGUAAGGGAAGAACGGGUGUGAGAGUGGAAAGUUCACACUGUGACGGUAUCUUACCAGAAAGGGACGGCUAACUACGUG